This is a long non-coding RNA of Cucumis sativus (cucumber), 219 nucleotides long. RefSeq lists it as uncharacterized. The record is from RefSeq and is a predicted model, not a curated record. Lineage: Eukaryota; Viridiplantae; Streptophyta; Magnoliopsida; Cucurbitales; Cucurbitaceae. The transcript has 2 exons.
UAUUCCACUGCGCGUCGUGGUCUUUCCCUUGCUGGUUGGAUGACUACUAUGGACGAAGAGCACAAUUACUUCCAGUCUCUGGUCGAUAAGUACCCAAGGAAGAGUUGCAGUGGGUAAAUCUUAAUGGCUGGCAGAAAAUUGGUUCGGGAUAUAUUACUCUCAAGACAAAGUAUUUUUUAUCAGUUUACUUCCCAUGGGGUAUUUGCUCUUCCUAUGCUU